Long non-coding RNA from Amphiprion ocellaris (clown anemonefish), 380 nucleotides. RefSeq lists it as uncharacterized. The record is from RefSeq and is a predicted model, not a curated record. Lineage: Eukaryota; Metazoa; Chordata; Actinopteri; Pomacentridae. The transcript has 3 exons.
AUAGACGGCGUGAAAACGGACAAGAGUAUGCUGGCUCACUGUGCUGCAUACAGUUACACACUACGUCGUACGAUUGAGACAAGGAAACUUGGAAUGACUUUUCAUAGGUUUCCCAGAGACUAUGGGUUGAGGAGGAAUUGGAAGUUUGUCGGCUUAGACCUGGUGUCAUUCCAUCAGUGUUAAACUUCCCGGCUCAUCUUGGAAGAGUACGUGCCAGAAAGACCACGACCAAGCAGCCUUGAGAUCUUAGGCAGCGUCUCCCUCAGACCAAAGAACUACAGACUCUUCACAACCUGCUCAAACUCUUGGUACAGGACCUCACCACACGGGCCAAGAAGGUUUCCGUCUCAUUUCUACUCUGAAGCUCACCUUCUCCUGCU